AUAUUAAAUAAGACUCAAGGACACAAACUAGGCUAAAAACUCUAAUAACUCGAAACACACUUAGACUGACUCAAAAUAAUGAAAACAAUCAAAUUAGACACUAGGAACUGAAAUGGACGGAAAUUGAAUUAAAAGACUAACAACAAUGAAAACUAACUAAAUAAUAUAAUUUAAUAAUGGGGGGGUUUGGUUUUGACGAGAAGUAAAUUAAACUUAAA
RNAcentral lists this long non-coding RNA (218 nucleotides) under Malus domestica (apple). RNAcentral's name for it is "long non-coding RNA (MDOM_LNC020248)". Lineage: Eukaryota; Viridiplantae; Streptophyta; Magnoliopsida; Rosales; Rosaceae. The record is from RNAcentral.